Molecule: ribosomal RNA, 497 nt
Filed under: uncultured bacterium
Lineage: Bacteria
Description: partial 16S ribosomal RNA
Rfam family: Bacterial small subunit ribosomal RNA
Source: RNAcentral
GAUGAACGCUGGCGGCGUGCCUAAUACAUGCAAGUCGAGCGAACGGACGAGAAGCUUGCUUCUCUGAUGUUAGCGGCGGACGGGUGAGUAACACGUGGAUAACCUACCUAUAAGACUGGGAUAACUUCGGGAAACCGGAGCUAAUACCGGAUAAUAUUUUGAACCGCAUGGUUCAAAAGUGAAAGACGGUCUUGCUGUCACUUAUAGAUGGAUCCGCGCUGCAUUAGCUAGUUGGUAAGGUAACGGCUUACCAAGGCAACGAUGCAUAGCCGACCUGAGAGGGUGAUCGGCCACACUGGAACUUGGCCACGGUCCAGACUCCUACGGGAGGCAGCAGUAGGGAAUCUUCCGCAAUGGGCGAAAGCCUGACGGAGCAACGCCGCGUGAGUGAUGAAGGUCUUCGGAUCGUAAAACUCUGUUAUUAGGGAAGAACAUAUGUGUAAGUAACUGUGCACAUCUUGACGGUACCUAAUCAGAAAGCCACGGCUAACUACGUG